CGGUAGUAGAGGUUCAGAUGUAGGCCAUUCAUUAGAAGGUAGCGCCAGCCAAGCUGGCCCAGAGAUCCAAAUGCUGCUUUUUAUAAAAUCGGGUGCCGUCAUGCCCCGCGAAACGAGAUCAGCCGGGUUCUGCUGUCCAGGUAUUUGGAGCUGCUUUGAUCCAAUGUAGUGUAAUACUGGAAUCGGACCAGAAAUGUACCGACUGCACAGGAAGCUGAAUGGCUUUGGCAAUGUGCUCGUACAGAUGAGCCCCUAAUACGGCACCGCAGAGUUCUAAACGAGGCAGGCUUAUACGCUUCAAUGGAGCUACUCUAGAUUUCGAUGCAAGCAAAGAUAUUUUAAUAUUCCCCUCGGCAUCCUCGCACCUUGCAUAAACGCAUGAGCCAUAUGCCGACUCUGAAGCAUCAGUAAAUAUGUGCAGUUGCACAUUCGAUCGUAAGGCGAAACAGUAUCGUUCGAUUCUAUAGCAAGUCAGAAUCUCCAACUUCUCAUAAAAAUCUUUCCAUUUCAGCCCAAAUGACUCUGGUACAGUCUCAUCCCAGCCAAUCGAUAGCGCCCAAAGCUGCUGCAUCAUUAUUUUUGCUCGCACUACGACAGGAGCGAUAAGACCCAACGGGUCAAAUAAUCGAGCUAUCUCCGAACAAAUGCUCCGUUUAGUAGAGGGUAACUGCAGUGGCUUGAUGCUUGAUGCAAAGCAUAAAUUAUCGCGCUCAGGUUCCCAGCAGACACCUAGGGCUUUUAUAGUUUCGUCGGUAUCAAACUGCAGUGAUGAUUUGGUUCCGAUUUGAGAAGCAUCGAGCUCUUGCAAAACCUCCAAACGAUUUGAGGUCCACUUUCGUAAUGGAAAGCCGCCCUUUAGCAUCAUUCCAGUUAGCUCCGAUCGGAGCUGUAUAGCUUCCUCAACAGAUGAUGCCCCGCCAAUGAAGUCAUCUACGUAGAAAUUGCGAAUCGCACGACUAGCAAGAGGGUAAUUGCUUCCUUCGUCCUGCACUAAUUGAAGCAAGGUGCGCGUAGCUAGGAAAGAGGAAGGAGCCAAACCGUAUGUGACAGUAUUCAGUUCAUACUCUUUUACUGGUGAUGUUGAUGAGAAUCGAAACAAUAUUCUCACUAAUGCGCGGUCAUCUUCAUGCAAGAGGAUUUGACGGUACAUUUUUUCGAUAUCUCCGACUAAGGCCACAAAAUAGGUGCGAAAACGCAAAAUAAUGUCCAACAGCUCAUCUUGCACUAUAGGUCCCACACAUAGUGCUUCGUUGAGGGAGUAGCCUGUAGAUGUUUUCGCGGAGCCGUCAAAGACUACUCUCACCUUAGUACUGCUGGAACUGCUCUCCUUUAUGACUGGGUGAUGAGGCAGAUAAAAGGUUUUCGUUGGGCUUGACGCAUUUUCAUUAACAGGCUGCAUGUGUCCGAGAUCUAUAUAUUCUUGCAUGAAGGCAUGAUACUCCUUCUUCAAUUGCGAAUUUCGGGAUAGGCGCUUUUCUAAUGAGUAGAAUCGGCGCAACGCCUGGCCUUUUGACUCGCCCAAGCGUACCGAGAACUCUGGAUGUUUAGGCAUCUGCACCACGUAUCGUCCGUCACUAUUUCUUCCAGUCUUCGAUCUAUACAGCUCUUCGCAAUGCUUUUCUUCUACUGAAUAUGGUUCGCAUGCAUGUAGCUCCUCUGCCUUCCAAAACUGCUCUAUUUUUUCUUCUAAAGAAACCAUUGAUACUCGUGUUGGGUUUGAGUGAGGAUUAACGACCUCCUCGCUGGCUGGACCGACUACAAGCCACCCAAACACGCUGUUGAUCAGUAUUGGUAAUUUAUCUGCCAGAUAAAUACGCUCUGCAGUUGGAAAAAAGGUGUAAAAAUGCUCUGCUCCGAUUAUCAUAUCUAUUGAUUCGGCCUGAUUAAAAUGAGGGUCCGCCAGGGAUAGUCCAGGCGGAAUGUUCCAGCGGCUUAUAUUAAUGUGGUGGGAAGGAAGUUUUGCAGCUACUUCAUCCAUUAGCAGGAAAUUUACUCCACAAGAAAAUUGGCUGGUGCGAGAUCGAAUUUCAGCAUACACGGACUCCCGCACCCUCGUCGUAGCACAACCAGCACCUUUAACGUCAAUGUCCAAUCUGGAAGUAGGUAGACCUAUUAAUUUUGCCAAUCUUUUGCUUAUUAGGUUAGGUUGUGAUGCACUAUCUAAUAAUGCUCUUGCUGGAUGGUGAUUGCCAAACGCAUCCACAACAAUGACAAUAGUAGUGAGUAAGAAUACCUCUCGUUGGUCCGCUGCUCGGUUUUCGUUUUCCAAUGCUGCUGUGCUGUUAAAUGAAGCGCUAGGAGCUACCUGAGGGCUAGUAUGUAGUGUUCGGUCGUGGGUGUGCUGCCGGCGUACAAAAUCAAAAGAGUGCAAUAAAGAAUGAUGUUGCUGGUUGCAAUGUUUGCACCGAUUGGUCGAAGGACAAUCUUUCAUGCUGUGGUCGACUCUUAAACAAUUAAUGCAGAGACCCUUCGCUCGCACUAUCUGAAGGCGCUCAGAUUGCGGAAGUCGCAUAAAUUGGUUACAGUACCAUAAUAAGUGAUCUAGUCGACAGCAAGGACAUCGUUUGGUAUUAUUUGCGGUGUACGAAUAGUACGAAAGAUGCGAAGAAGGCCUUACGGCAGGCACCGAUGUAGAGCUUACAUCCGCAGAUUUACUCAUAUAAACAGAGUCUAAUGUUUUCAUUCUUCUCUGCAGAAAUUCUAUUAACGCCUCAUAUGUUGGCUUUUUCAUGCUAGCUGCCUUGUCUUCCCAAUGUGUAAGAGUUUCCGCUGGUAGUUUGGAGCACAAAACAUAUUCUAACAUUGAGCUCCAUUGGUCGGUUGGCUCUCCUAGCUUUUGAAUCAUUUUUACAUGCCGAUUAAAUUCAUCUACCAAUCUAUGCAAGUCAGCUGACGAUUCUUUUCGUAAUUGUGGGAUGCCGAACAUUUGCUUAAAGUGCAUCUUUUGCAGAAGGUAUUCAUUUGAGAAUCGCUCCUUGAGCUCCUGCCAUGCGAUGGAGUAAUUCGAUGCGCACAAUGGGAUCGACUCUAUCAAUCUAGCGGCCUCACCAGUUAAUGAAGCUCUCAAAUAAUGGAAUUUUUGAAUAUCCAAAACGCUUGCAUUGUUAUGAACUAAUGCUUCAAAGGUAUCAUGAAAUGCCAUCCAGUGCAUUAUAUCACCGUUAAAUUCGGGCAAAGAGAUGGCUGGUAAUUUAACGUGGUUUUGAAUGGGAGAGUGGCUUGGGUUUUGAGCGUGGCUUGAGCCAAGCUCAGAGCUAACGGCUUGAGCUGUUUGAGUAGGCAUGUGCGAUAGCAUGGCGCUUUUCAUAGCUAUGAACCUUUCCUCAAAAUUAUCCAUCAACUCCUCUUCUUCUAGCUUCUCAGCUUCACUGGGCGCUAACAAACACAAUUGCGUAUGAGCCGUUUCAAACUCCUUUUCCAUACCUUCAAUCGUUUGGAGCCUGACAGGCACGAGAUGCUUGUGUUGUUCAGGCUGGAAGUUCGCUAUGAAAACCUCAUUUCGUUUCAGCUUCGUGAAUAAAGAAUUCAACCGUUGUCUUAGGCUCGCAAUUUCGGUCAUCUUUAUACUUGACCUGUUGAGAUGGCAGGAUUCGGGAAAACAGUUGCAAUGACGAUGGCAGGGAAACACACACAGAUGAUGACGGAUGGCUGUUCCAAACUGCGACUGGCGGGAAACACACGAUUACGAAGACGGAUAUCACACGCGCGAAAACAACCGGUUGCGACACGGAAGAUAAGCUGACGUUUUCUCACACUAAUGUUCAACGGAUUGGACAGUAACUUAACUUUAGUGUUCUUUGUAACAAGACGUUACACGAUUCAAAGACGAACGAAAUCUUAUAUUAUAAUAAAGGCAAGACGCCUCACAGCUUUUUUUUACGC
Molecule: long non-coding RNA, 3882 nt
Organism: Anopheles gambiae (African malaria mosquito)
Lineage: Eukaryota; Metazoa; Arthropoda; Insecta; Diptera; Culicidae
Exons: 2
Source: RefSeq, a predicted model, not a curated record